CACCCAAGGUGUAUAAUUAUGCUAAUAAUGCUUAUUUAAGUAUAAGUUAAUCAUAGAUGUUAAAUUAUGUGGAUUUAAGUGCUUACGUGUCCUUUAUGUGCUAUGUGACACAUACGAAUUAUGUUUGAAUUAUAUGCCAUGUAUAUGAUUUAUGUGUUAUGAGUCAAAUUUCCUAAGACAAAACAUAGAGAUUCAUAAAACAAGGUUAUGGGUCAAUGUGAAAAUAUUAUUGGGUCCUUAUUUGAAGAGAAUGUUAUGUGAUGGUUCAUUUGAUAAUUAGACCACCCUUCUUCUAGACAAAUCCAGACGUAGAAGGAAGAAAUAAAUAUCAGCCCCCACCCUCUCAUUCUUCCAACGUUCUCUCCCUCUCUCACUCCUCUCAAGAAAAAAAAAUCAAGAAGUCUCCCUCAUCUUCUACUUCUAGGGUUUUGCUUCUAGGGUUCAAUCAAGUUCUUGGAUCAAGAUUCUAUCUCUAAUCCAUCUCUCACCUAAGUGUUUGAAGCUCUCUCAAUCCAUGGUUUAAACCUAAAAGAGGAUUUGGUGAAUAAGAGAAGGAUAUAAAGGAUACAAGUUGAUGUUUACUUGAAGUGCAAAGGAAUAAUGAAAGUAGAAAAAAGACUUAUAUUUUUGGGCAUAUUUUGUACUUGAUUCUCUUAUGGACAAAGAUGUAUACAUUUUUGUAAAGUGAUGUACGUAAGCUAUGCAUGUUAGGAAUAGGUUAUCGAUGUUCAUGCUAAUGUAAUUAUUGUAUCAUGUAAAUUAUCAAUGUAUGGACGUUCUGGACCAAAUAGGUUGUGUUCAUUUCACUCAACCUCGUUUAUGGUUACCUUUA
Rhododendron vialii is the source of this 832-nucleotide long non-coding RNA. RefSeq lists it as uncharacterized. The record is from RefSeq and is a predicted model, not a curated record. The transcript is spliced from 3 exons. NCBI's taxonomy places the organism in Eukaryota, Viridiplantae, Streptophyta, Magnoliopsida, Ericales, Ericaceae.